Molecule: ribosomal RNA, 468 nt
Filed under: uncultured bacterium
Lineage: Bacteria
Description: partial 16S ribosomal RNA
Rfam family: Bacterial small subunit ribosomal RNA
Source: RNAcentral
GACGAACGCUGGCGGCGUGCUUAACACAUGCAAGUCGAACGGAAAGGCCCUGCUUUUGUGGGGUGCUCGAGUGGCGAACGGGUGAGUAACACGUGAGUAACCUGCCCUUGACUUUGGGAUAACUUCAGGAAACUGGGGCUAAUACCGGAUAGGAGCUCCUGCUGCAUGGUGGGGGUUGGAAAGUUUCGGCGGUUGGGGAUGGACUCGCGGCUUAUCAGCUUGUUGGUGGGGUAGUGGCUUACCAAGGCUUUGACGGGUAGCCGGCCUGAGAGGGUGACCGGCCACAUUGGGCUUGAGAUACGACCCAGAGUCCUACGGGAGGCAGAAGUGGGAAAUAGUGCACAAUGGGCGGAAGCCUGAUGCAGCAUCGCCGCGUGCGGGAUGACGGCCUUCGGGUUGUAAACCGCUUUCGCCUGUGACGAAGCGUGAGUGACGGUAAUGGGUAAAGAAGCACCGGCUAACUACGUG